CAACCCUCGAGCCCCUCCGGGGGGUCGGCGUUGGGGAUCGGCCCUCCCUCGCGGGGGCCGGCCCCGAAAUCCAGUGGCGGUCCCGCCGCAGCCUCUCCUGCGCAGUAGUUUGCACAACUCGCACCGGGAGCGCGGCGGGCACCAACGCCGUAAAACAACCCAAACUUUCCGAAA
This 174-nucleotide unclassified non-coding RNA is filed under the name Trichoderma danicum. Its description in RNAcentral is "partial internal transcribed spacer 2". The record is from RNAcentral. Lineage: Eukaryota; Fungi; Ascomycota; Sordariomycetes; Hypocreales; Hypocreaceae.